GACGAACGCUGGCGGCGUGCUUAACACAUGCAAGUCGAACGGAAAGGCCCUGCUUUUGUGGGGUGCUCGAGUGGCGAACGGGUGAGUAACACGUGAGUAACCUGCCCUUGACUUUGGGAUAACUUCAGGAAACUGGGGCUCAUACCGGAUAGGAGCUCCUGCUGCAUGGUGGGGGUUGGAAAGUUUCGGCGGUUGGGGAUCGAAUCGCGGCUUAUCAGCUUGUUGGUGGGGUAGUGGCUUACCAAGCCUUUGACGGGUAGCCGGCCUGAGAGGGUGACCGGCCACAUUGGGACUGAGAGACGGCCCAGACUCCUACGGGAGGCAGCAGUGGGGAAUAUUGCACAAUGGGCGGAAGCCUGAUGCAGCAACGCCGCGUGCGGGAUGACGGCCUUCGGGUUGUAAACCACUUUCGCCUGUGACGAAGCGUGAGUGACGGUAAUGGGUAAAGAAGCACCGGCUAACUACGUG
Molecule: ribosomal RNA, 468 nt
Filed under: uncultured bacterium
Lineage: Bacteria
Description: partial 16S ribosomal RNA
Rfam family: Bacterial small subunit ribosomal RNA
Source: RNAcentral